GGACUACUCGGGUUUCUAAUCCCGUUCGCUCCCCUAGCUUUCGCCCCUCAGCGUCAGGUACCAGCCAGGACACUGCCUUCGCCUUUGGUGUUCUUCCGGAUAUCUACGCAUUUCACCACUACACCCGGAGUUCCAUGUCCCUCUCUGGUCCUCUCAGUCCGCCCGUUUUCGCACCGCUCUCCCAGUUAAGCCAGGAGCUGUCAGCGCAAACCUAGCGGACCGCCUGCGGGCGCUUUACGCCCAGUAACUCCGGACAACGCUUGUCCCCUACGUAUUACCGCGGCUGCUGGCAC
This 293-nucleotide ribosomal RNA is filed under the name uncultured bacterium. RNAcentral describes it as "partial 16S ribosomal RNA". The record is from RNAcentral.